RNAcentral lists this ribosomal RNA (482 nucleotides) under uncultured bacterium. RNAcentral describes it as "bacterial SSU rRNA". It matches the Rfam family "Bacterial small subunit ribosomal RNA", at positions 29 to 487 of the family's 1533-position model. The record is from RNAcentral.
AACAAACGCUGGCGGCGUGCCUAACACAUGCAAGUCGUACGAGAAAGGGUCCUUCGGGACCUGAGUAAAGUGGCGCACGGGUGAGUAGCGCGUGGAUAAUCUACCCUUCAGUUGGGAACAACUCAUCGAAAGGUGGGCUAAUACCGAAUAAUACUGCUCGACCUUGGUCGAGCAGCCAAAGAGAGCCUCUGCUUGCAAGCCCUCGCUGAAGGAUGAGUUCGCGUACCAUUAGCUUGUUGGUAGGGUAAUGGCCUACCAAGGCGACGAUGGUUAGCUGGUCUGAGAGGAUGAUCAGCCACACUGGAACUGAGACACGGUCCAGACUCCUACGGGAGGCAGCAGUGAGGAAUCUUGCGCAAUGGGGAAACCCUGACGCAGCAACGCCGCGUGAGUGAGGAAGGUCUUCGGAUCGUAAAGCUCUGUCAGUUGGAAAGAAAUGUCUGAGAGUCAAUCCCUUUCAGGCUUGACGGUACCAACAGAGG